UACGAAGGGUGCAAGCGUUACUCGGAAUUACUGGGCGUAAAGCGUGCGCAGGCGGUCUCUUAAGACAGGUGUGAAAUCCCCGGGCUUAACCUGGGAACUGCGCUUGAGACUGGCACGCUCGAGUUCGGGAGAGGAUGGUGGAAUUCCCAGUGUAGAGGUGAAAUUCGUAGAUAUUGGGAAGAACACCGAUGGCGAAGGCAGCCAUCUGGACCGACACUGACGCUGAGGCGCGAAAGCGUGGGGAGCAAACAGG
RNAcentral lists this ribosomal RNA (253 nucleotides) under uncultured bacterium. RNAcentral's name for it is "partial 16S ribosomal RNA". It matches the Rfam family "Bacterial small subunit ribosomal RNA", at positions 524 to 776 of the family's 1533-position model. The record is from RNAcentral.